CAAUAGCGUAUAUUAAAGUUGUUGCGGUAAAAAAGCUCGUAGUUGGAUUUCUGUUGAGAGCGACCGGUCCAUACCAUGUAUGCGUAUCUGGCUUGCUCUCGGCAUCCUCUCGAUAGACGUUACUGCGCUUGAUUGCGUGGUGCGGAUCUCGGGACUUUUACUUUGAGGAAAUUAGAGUGUUCACGGCAGGCUUUCGCCAGAAUACAUUAGCAUGGAAUAAUACUAUAGGAUCUUGGUUCUAUUUUGUUGGUUUCUAGAAUUGAGAUAAUGAUUAAUAGGGACAAUUGGGGGCAUUCGUAUCAACACGUCAGAGGUGGAAUUCUUGGAUUGUGUUGCGACGAACUACUGCGAAAGCAUUUGCCAAGGAUGCUUUCAUUGA
Molecule: ribosomal RNA, 379 nt
Filed under: uncultured eukaryote
Lineage: Eukaryota
Description: partial 18S ribosomal RNA
Rfam family: Eukaryotic small subunit ribosomal RNA
Source: RNAcentral